This 383-nucleotide ribosomal RNA is filed under the name uncultured eukaryote. RNAcentral's name for it is "partial 18S ribosomal RNA". It matches the Rfam family "Eukaryotic small subunit ribosomal RNA", at positions 592 to 976 of the family's 1831-position model. The record is from RNAcentral.
CAAUAGCGUAUAUUAAAGUUGUUGCAGUUAAAAAGCUCGUAGUUGGAUUUCUGGUAGGAGUGACCGUUCCGAACUUGAUUGUUCGUGUAUUGUGUUUUCUCCAGCCAUCCUUGUGGAGAACUUUUCUUGCAUUAAUUUGUAGGGAUUGGGACCCGCAUCGUUUACUGUGAAAAAAUUAGAGUGUUUAAAGCAGGCAAUCGCUUGGAUACAUUAGCAUGGAAUAAUAAGAUAGGACUUUGGUACUAUUUUGUUGGUUUGCAUACCAAAUUAAUGAUCAACAGGAACAGUUUGAGGAUAUUCGUAUGAACAUGUCAGAGGUGAAAUUCUUGGAUUUUGAUCAGACGAACUACUGCGAAAGCAUUUAUCAAGGAUGUUUUCAUUAA